CGGUAAUUCCAGCUCCAAUAGCGUAUACUAAAGUUGUUGCAGCUAAAAAGCUCGUAGUUGGAUUUCUGCGGGGACGGAGCGGCCGGACGCAACUUGCGUCUCGAGCUAGCGCUUUCCCCGCAUCCUGCCGCGAACCGUGCUACCAUUAGCUUGGUGGCGCUGGGGAUCGGCUCGAUUACUUUGAGAAAAAUAGAGUGUUCAAAGCAGGCCACACGCCUUGAAUAAGUUAGCAUGGAAUAAUGACUAAGGACUUCGGUUCUAUUUUGUUGGUGUUCGGGACUGAAGUAAUGAUUGAUAGGGACAGUUGGGGCGGUCUGUAUUCCAAAGCGAGAGGUGAAAUUCUUAGACCUUCGGAAGACAAACAGCUGCGAAAGCGUUCCGCAAGGAUGUUCCCUUUGAUCAAGAACGAAAGUUGGGGGAUCGAAGACGAUCAGAUACCGUCGUAGUCUCAACUAUAAACUAUACCAGCUAGGGAUCGGUCAACGUUUAAUCAUUCGACUUGAUCGGCACCUUAUGAGAAAUCAAAGCAUCUGGGUUCCGGGGGGAGUAUGGUCGCAAGGCUGAAACUUAAAGGAAUUGACGGAAGGGCACCACCAGCCGUGGAGCCUGUGGCUUAAUUUGACUCAACACGGGAAAACUUACCAGGUCCAGACAUAGUAAGGAUUGACAGAUUGAUAGCUCUUUCUUGAUUCUGUGGGUGGUGGUGCAUGGCCGUUCUUAGUUGGUGGAGUGAUUUGUCUGGUUAAUUCCGUUAACGAACGAGACCCCAGCCUGCUAAAUAGCGCGGCUGAGCUUUGCUCGGUGCGAGCUUCUUAGAGGGACUAUGAUGCGCGAUAGCACAUGGAAGUUUGGGGCAAUAACAGGUCUGUGAUGCCCUUAGAUGUUCUGGUCCGCACACGGGCUACACUGGCGCCUGCAACGAGCAUAUCAGCUGGCCCGAGAGGGUCUUGGCUAAUCUUUUGAACCGGCGCCGUGCUUGGGAUUGACCAUUGCAAUUGUUGGUCAUGCAACGAGGAAUGCCUUGUAAACGCGAGUCAUCAGCUCGCAUUGAAUACGUCCCUGCCCUUUGUACGCACCGCCCGUCGCUCCUACCGAUGAAUGUUCCGAUGAAAUUUUCGGAGAGCGCCAGAGAACGGGGCUCUGCCUUGCAGAUCUGGAGGCUCAAAGUCACUUAAAUCUGAACAUUUCGAGGAAGGAGAAGUCGUAACAAGGUAACC
RNAcentral lists this ribosomal RNA (1217 nucleotides) under uncultured Rhizaria. RNAcentral's name for it is "SSU rRNA". It matches the Rfam family "Eukaryotic small subunit ribosomal RNA", at positions 577 to 1804 of the family's 1831-position model. The record is from RNAcentral.